UACGUAGGCAGCAAGCGUUGUUCGGAGUUACUGGGCGUAAAGGGUGCGUAGGCGGUUGUUUAAGUUUGGUGUGAAAUCUCCCGGCUCAACUGGGAGGGUGCGCCGAAUACUGAAUGACUAGAGUGCGGGAGAGGAGAGUGGAAUUCCUGGUGUAGCGGUGAAAUGCGUAGAUAUCAGGAGGAACACCGGUGGUGUAGACGGCUCUCUGGACCGUAACUGACGCUGAGGCACGAAAGCGUGGGUAGCAAACAGGAUUAGAUC
Molecule: ribosomal RNA, 261 nt
Filed under: uncultured bacterium
Lineage: Bacteria
Description: partial 16S ribosomal RNA
Rfam family: Bacterial small subunit ribosomal RNA
Source: RNAcentral